RNAcentral lists this long non-coding RNA (243 nucleotides) under Lathyrus oleraceus (garden pea). Its description in RNAcentral is "Pisum sativum (pea) long non-coding RNA (PSAT_LNC019010)". The record is from RNAcentral. Lineage: Eukaryota; Viridiplantae; Streptophyta; Magnoliopsida; Fabales; Fabaceae.
GAACAGUAUCCGUAUUACGUCCUAAAUAAUCCAUGUUGGGUUAAAUGUUUUAUGAUCCUCAACUUCUCAGACCCCAGAUUUAUAGAAAGUAAUGUCUAUCCACGACUUACUCGUGUGACAUCAGUAACUCCAAAGAGGUCUCCACUGAGUGGGGGAUCUUAUGUCAACUCUUUUAGGACUACUCCUUCAAAGUAAACAUGACUAUACCACCCUCCUAUCUUAGAUUUAACUCAAGUUCGGGUU